RNAcentral lists this small nuclear RNA (59 nucleotides) under Mus caroli (Ryukyu mouse). Lineage: Eukaryota; Metazoa; Chordata; Mammalia; Rodentia; Muridae. The record is from RNAcentral.
GUACUCACUUCGGCAGCACAUAUGCUAAAAUUGGAACUAUACAGAGAAGAUUAGCAUGG